GGGAGGAUGGAGGAGGUAGCAUGGUCCAGGUCUGCUACAUCACACUAGCUCUCACUCCUCACUCCGCUGUGGAGGCACAAACAGAAUGAUCCAAGAGGAUCCAUACUGGUCAGGGGGUUUCACAUGCUGAAACUGGACUGUGGUACUACAACAAUACCAGUGUCACGACUUUGCCCUCUUUGGGUACAGCGAGCACCCCUCCCCCUGCACCAGCCCUUUUCUAUGCACCAUCCCCUUACCCCCCUGUCUCCUACACCCAGGCUGCUGUGGUCAGAGAGGUUGUAAAUUCCUGGAGGAGAUUUUCUCCUCAUGGCCACAGUAUAGAGAGAGAGAGUAAAGUUUCCUAAAGAGAACAAAGGAAUUUCUUCCACCUCACAGAACUGAAGAACCAAACAACAUUUAUGUUCUGGAGAAGGUAUAAAAGAUCGGUGAAGAAUCCAGCUACGAACUGGUCCGUUUGGUACAAUUUUGUGAAACUCAUGGGAGGCAAUACGGCCACAUUACAAUAACGCUGUUUAUAUAAUAGCCUCAGAUAUGAGGCUUACAUCUAAUUGUUGAAUAAGAUGAAUGAGUGAGGAUGAUACUGUUUGUGAAAUUGUGUAAUGUGAUUUUGGACUGUUUAAUGAAGGAAACUCCAAUUCCCUUUGUUUAACUAAAUCAGAGGACCGCCCAUGAGCACAGUUAUUGUCAGGCAUCCUGGGACAGGCCCUUUUCUGCAAUUCCGAAUAAAACCCCCACCUUGAGAAUUUCUCAACAGACCAUGUUUCUCUCAAAUAUGAGACGACAAAGGUUGCAGACCAGCUUACCUCGAUAACGAGAGGGCCAAGGUUUGAGACCAGACUGCUGAAUCUUUUAACCAUCCCACGUGGUUAAACUCUUAGACUAUCGAUACCGACAGAAUAAGAACAAGUCUUUGAUAUUAAUUACUAGUCUGCAGCUAGGAAUUCGGUAUCAUUGAAUGGGAAGACCGACAACCUCCGAAACAUCUAUUCUAUAACGACAUGAAUGAAUGUCACUCUGAACUAUCCAUUCUAACCACGGCAGAGAGACAGAGAGGGCGGACAAACUCUCCAACAGAAACUAGCUUCUCAACAGAGAUCCCGACACACUGAGCGUAAAUAUAUAUAUUGAUUGCAAUUGUUCCCGAAUGAGUGAAAGUUCAUGUGCAAAGGAUUAGCAUUUCAAUUGUUAUAAUUAUCAACUGUGUGUUGUCUUAUCUCAGUCGACCCCCACUUCCCUUUUGUACACCAAGCCGCAAUGCCGGUUUAUCCCACUAGGGAAACUCCAUUAUCAUUUCCUUGUAACCAUCUACUGUUUGUUUAUGCAUUUCUGUGAAUUACUUAGUUAGUAAAUAAAUGAUUUUAAGACAA
Molecule: long non-coding RNA, 1370 nt
Organism: Oncorhynchus tshawytscha (Chinook salmon)
Lineage: Eukaryota; Metazoa; Chordata; Actinopteri; Salmoniformes; Salmonidae
Source: Ensembl